GUGCUUUCUCACAGAAAGCAUUAUAACCUGCACAUCAUUUGGCAAUUUUACAUGUAGAUUCAGUGACAUACAGCACACUUGGCUUACAAUCUGUAACCGUAAGGAAAUGAGGGGUUGUUCUCUUUUUUGCUGUCACCUGUUCUUUUAAGAGAUCGGAAGUUACCCUGACCAAAACCAAAAAGGGCUGCUUGAGCCAUUUGAUUAAAAAUUGAAUCAAUUGUGACGUGUGACUGAUCAAACCCUUAAGAGAAUCUCUAAAAUAAACAUAUAAACGAGCUUAAAAAGAAAGGCUACAUUGAAAGAGACAAGAAUCUUUUAACAACUGAAUGCACUCAAUAAAGCAGAUCAAGUUGCUUUAUCGAGGAAUCUUGAUUCCUAGUUCAAUUUCUAUGUUAUCUUUGGGCAACUUUUGAUCCAUAGUUUGACUGAAGCUUGCCUUUCCCGUCAUUUCAUUUCACCUUGGACAACAAUUAUUGUUUCUGACUAAUGUUGACCAAACCGCCAUGUCGUUGCAAAGCAGCAACCGAUUCGCCACAUCAGGGGCAACAGAAAGAUGGAGCAGCGGAGCACCGUGUUUGAAGACAGUAGUAACAGUAGCGGUAUAGUGACAGAGAUACAUAUAACCUCACAGAACAGCAGUUACUAACAUGAUACUGAAAAGUAGAAAACAGAACACAAAUGACGUCAAGUCGUCAACCCAAAUGGAUGACAAGAUGAAGGCACAAGCAAGAUUAUCCCCUCUGCAAUAUCUAAAGAUACAAUUGCCUUAAUAGUGGACUGACUACAAUAGAUAUUUCUGUUAAGUCAUCUAAACUAGUUUUGUACAUGACAACUUGGUUAUACUUGGUAGUUUGUAUAGGUAUCAGAUCUAUCUUGAUGUUCCCAUCUUUUCAUACGUUGAUCGUUGAUUGGGUAAAGUUCCCGACUCUAUCUGGAAAUGAAUUGGAGAGAAAAAAGUUUUCUAGUUCCCCUUCUUCAAUUGAAAAUUUAACUAGCUCCAAGAUUUGAAUGCCAUGGUUGUCUAUAAAACACUGGAUAUGAAGUUUAUUUUAAAGGACAAGAGGGGUUGCUCUGACGGUAAGCAACCCUCACUUCCAACCGAGAGGUUGUGAGUUCGA
RNAcentral lists this long non-coding RNA (1118 nucleotides) under Nicotiana benthamiana. RNAcentral describes it as "long non-coding RNA (NBEN_LNC023520)". The record is from RNAcentral. Lineage: Eukaryota; Viridiplantae; Streptophyta; Magnoliopsida; Solanales; Solanaceae.